CCCCAUUCACACACACGCCGUGGUUGGAGCACGUGGGAUCCAAGCAAUCCACUGCAGAAGAAAGCAAGAACAACGUGGGAAACGGAGUCUAAGGAAUCCAAGGCAUCUGGCCCAAAUCCACCACAGCCAUUCUAGACAACUUAAAGCAGAGAGAGAAUUCCAUGGAAGUAGCUGGAAAUUACCAUCAGGGUGAGGGAGGAGCUGCUUGCAAGACUGGACGUGGUCCCUACCCAGAGAAAUGGAAAAAAUAACAGAAGAAUAACAGAAAAUGGGAGGAAUUAAGUGAAUCUUGGAGAAAAGGUACAGUUCUGUGCUCUUC
Molecule: long non-coding RNA, 319 nt
Organism: Pseudopipra pipra
Lineage: Eukaryota; Metazoa; Chordata; Aves; Passeriformes; Pipridae
Exons: 3
Source: RefSeq, a predicted model, not a curated record